GCCUUGGUAGCGCAGAAGGCAGCGCGUAAGUCUCAUAAUCUUAAGGUCGUGAGUUCGAUCCUCACCCAGGGCA
Transfer RNA from Melipona quadrifasciata, 73 nucleotides. It matches the Rfam family "tRNA". Rfam says of the family: Transfer RNA (tRNA) molecules are approximately 80 nucleotides in length. Their secondary structure includes four short double-helical elements and three loops (D, anti-codon, and T loops). NCBI's taxonomy places the organism in Eukaryota, Metazoa, Arthropoda, Insecta, Hymenoptera, Apidae. The record is from Rfam.